Molecule: long non-coding RNA, 280 nt
Filed under: Pelobates cultripes (western spadefoot toad)
Lineage: Eukaryota; Metazoa; Chordata; Amphibia; Anura; Pelobatidae
Source: RNAcentral
GGAUCUGAACGCUCUUCAGUAGUUUUGUGCGCUCAGAUCCCAGCUAUCUGGGGAUAUGUGAAAUGUCUGUGUCUUAUGUGAAAAGGUUACUUUAUGUAUUUUAAAGUGUUUUGUGUCUUUUUGCAACCAUGUGCUUAAUGGAGUCUUGUGUCCGUCCUGGGAGAUAAUUGAAUUACUCUCCAGGAUAGAAGACUCUGAAACUGGUUUGGGCCAGAAAGCCAUGCUUCAUUUAGUCACAAGGGACUUUUUACUAACUUUUGAACCCCUUGUCUGAUUUGUG